GACGUAGGGGGCCAGCGUUGUUCGGAAUUACUGGGUGUAAAGGGCGCGUAGGCGGUCGUGACAAGUCACUUGUGAAAUCUCCGGGCUUAACUCGGAACGGUCAAGUGAUACUGUCGGACUAGAGUACAGAAGGGGCAACUGGAAUUCUCGGUGUAGCGGUGAAAUGCGUAGAUAUCGAGAGGAACACCUGCGGCGAAGGCGGGUUGCUGGGCUGAUACUGACGCUGAGGCGCAAAAGCCAGGGGAGCGAACGGG
This 254-nucleotide ribosomal RNA is filed under the name uncultured bacterium. RNAcentral's name for it is "partial 16S ribosomal RNA". It matches the Rfam family "Bacterial small subunit ribosomal RNA", at positions 524 to 776 of the family's 1533-position model. The record is from RNAcentral.